This 264-nucleotide ribosomal RNA is filed under the name uncultured bacterium. Its description in RNAcentral is "partial 16S ribosomal RNA". It matches the Rfam family "Bacterial small subunit ribosomal RNA", at positions 793 to 1055 of the family's 1533-position model. The record is from RNAcentral.
GUCCACGCCCUAAACGAUGAUCACUGGGUGUUGGGGGAGCGAUCUCCUAGUACCGUAGCUAACGCGUGAAGUGAUCCGCCUGGGGAGUACGGUCGCAAGAUUAAAACUCAAAGGAAUUGACGGGGACCCGCACAAGCGGUGGAUGAUGUGGAUUAAUUCGAUGCAACGCGAACAACCUUACCUACCCUUGACAUGUCUGGAAGGCCGCCGAGAGGUGGUUGUGCCCCGAAAGGGACCGGAACACAGGUGCUGCAUGGCUGUCGU